This 253-nucleotide ribosomal RNA is filed under the name Barnesiella intestinihominis YIT 11860. Its description in RNAcentral is "partial 16S ribosomal RNA". It matches the Rfam family "Bacterial small subunit ribosomal RNA", at positions 524 to 776 of the family's 1533-position model. RNAcentral also lists the same sequence under 1 other name. Lineage: Bacteria; Pseudomonadati; Bacteroidota; Bacteroidia; Bacteroidales; Barnesiellaceae. The record is from RNAcentral.
UACGGAGGAUGCGAGCGUUAUCCGGAUUUAUUGGGUUUAAAGGGUGCGUAGGCGGCACGCCAAGUCAGCGGUGAAAUUUCCGGGCUCAACCCGGACUGUGCCGUUGAAACUGGCGAGCUAGAGUGCACAAGAGGCAGGCGGAAUGCGUGGUGUAGCGGUGAAAUGCAUAGAUAUCACGCAGAACCCCGAUUGCGAAGGCAGCCUGCUAGGGUGCGACAGACGCUGAGGCACGAAAGCGUGGGUAUCGAACAGG